UAAUCCACCAGUUGAAUUUAUAUAAAUUAUAGGAAUAAUUGCCUAUAUACCCUUCAUGCGUUCGGAAAUAUCCGAUUUACCCCUACUUUUUUAUUUUUUUCUAAAAUACCUCUCAUAUGUUCUACCGUUAUUCCAAAAUACCCCUACAGUUAUCCCCUGUUAGUUUAACUCGGGUUAAACAUGGGUUAAAUGUAUACUAGAGUUAAAACCUAAACAAAAUACCUAUUUUGCCCCUACCUUAUUAUACUAAUCUCUAAGGUUAUCCUCUCUUUCUUUCCCAACUUGGUCGCCACCACCGGCUGGCUCCUCCACCACCACCGGCCGGCUCCUCCGCCUCCAUUUCACCUCAUCUCCUCCUAGACCACCACCACCACCUCCCACACCUCCACCUCCAACACCACCCCUCCCGUCGCUCUCGUCGUCCUCCUCCGCCUUCGCUCUCAUCGCCGUCAUUUUCCUCCUCGGCCGCCUUGGCCGGCGUCGGGAACAAGAGGGCCGCAGCGCCAUCGGACCCUUGCAAGCCCUCCGCUCCGGAUCCUGCUGAAGGGCAAAUAAAAAAGCAUUUGCUAUAUGAAGGGUAUAUAAAAAAAGUUUGUUAGAGUACAAGGGUAUAUUGGAAUGGGCAAAAUAGUAAUUUUUCAGAGAUAACGGCAGCUCACUAACGGAACUUAAUUCCAGAAGUAUUUUACAUAAGAAUGGUAUUUUCAAUAUUAACCUUCUAAGAGGGGUAAAUAAGAAAAUUGAAAACUUUUCAGGGAUAUAUAGGCAAUUG
Molecule: long non-coding RNA, 772 nt
Filed under: Ananas comosus (pineapple)
Lineage: Eukaryota; Viridiplantae; Streptophyta; Magnoliopsida; Poales; Bromeliaceae
Description: long non-coding RNA (ACOM_LNC021969)
Source: RNAcentral